UUAAGAAAGCAAGAGCGCACGGUGGAUGCCUAGGCACUAAUAGGCGAAGAAGGACGCGACUAACAGCGAAAUGCUACGGGGAGCAGUAAGUAGGCAAAGAUCCGUAGGUAUCCGAAUGGGGAAACCCACUAGUUAGAAGAGCUAGUAUCGUAUAAUGAAUACAUAGUUAUACGAGGCGAACCCGGGGAACUGAAACAUCUAAGUACCCGGAGGAAAAGAAAACAAAAGUAAUUCCCUAAGUAGAGGCGAUUGAAAGGGGAGGAGCCCAGCACCAAGAAGAGUUAGAAAAUCUUUUUAUAGUAGAAUUGUAUUGGAAAAGCAAGACAAAGAAGGUGAAAUCCCUGUAUACGAAAUAAAGAGAUCUCGGUGUCGGAGUAGGGCGGAGCACGAGGAAUUCUGUCUGAAGAAGUGAGGACCAUCUCAUAAGGCUAAAUACUCAUUAGUGACCGAUAGUGAACCAGUACUGUGAAGGAAAGGUGAAAAGAACCCCUGGCGGGGAGUGAAAAGAACCUGAAACCGUGUGCUUACAAACAGUUAGAGCCCGUCAAAGGGUGAUAGCGUGCCUUUUGUAGAAUGAGCCGGCGAGUUACGUUAAUGUGCGAGGUUAAGUUUUAAGGGACGGAGCCGAAGCGAAAGCGAGUCUGAAGAGGGCGGAAUAGUAGAUUGACGUAUACCCGAAACCGGGUGAUCUAGCCAUGAGCAGGUUGAAGCUUGGGUAAAACCAGGUGGAGGACCGAACCAGGGUCUGUUGAAAAAGACUUGGAUGACUUGUGGCUAGGGGUGAAAUUCCAAUCGAACCCGGAGAUAGCUGGUUCUCCCCGAAAUAGCUUUAGGGCUAGCGUUAUGGAGAAGAGUUAUACGAAGGUAGAGCACUGAAUGGGUGAGGGCCUCAUCUCGAGGUACUGAUCUCAAUCAAACUCCGAAUGUCGUAUAAUAUACAUAGCAGUAAGACUAUGGGUGAUAAGGUUCAUAGUCAAAAGGGAAACAGCCCAGACCGCCAGUUAAGGUCCCAAAAUUAUGCUAAGUGGGAAAGGAGGUGGAGUCGCAUAGACAACUAGGAGGUUGGCUUAGAAGCAGCCAUCCUUUAAAGAGUGCGUAAUAGCUCACUAGUCGAGUGAUUCUGCGCCGAAAAUGUAUCGGGGCUAAGCAUAAUACCGAAGCUGCGGAAUUAGGAAAGAAAGCCUAAUUGGUAGGGGAGCGUACUAAACACGAAGAAGGUUGACCGGGAGGGCAGCUGGAGAGUUUAGCAGUGAGAAUGCCGGUGUGAGUAGCGAUAAGAUGGGUGAGAAUCCCAUCCGUCGGAAGCCUAAGGGUUCCAGGGGUAAGGCUCGUCCGCCCUGGGUAAGUCGGGACCUAAGGUGAGGCCGAAAGGCGUAGCUGAUGGAUAUCAGGUUGAUAAUCCUGGACCACCAUAGAGCUGAAGGAGUGACGGAGGAGGGAAGUUAGGAUGGACUGGUGGAAUAGUCUAAUGAAGCACAAAGAGGGAUACGUAGGAAAAACCGCGUAUUAGAACCUUGAAGUGUAAACCGCAAGGCCUAAUGGACCACACUUCCAAGAAAAGCUUCUAGGAAUACUUUAUGGUGCCCGUACCGUAAACGGACACACGUAGGCGAGGAGAGAAUCCAAAGACGCGCGAGAUAAUUCUUGUUAAGGAACUCUGCAAAAUGACCCUGUAACUUCGGGAUAAAGGGGACUCUAGAGAUAGAGGCGCAGAAAAUAGGCCCAAGCGACUGUUUAACAAAAACAUAGGUUUCUGCUAAAGCGAAAGCUGAUGUAUAGGAGCUGACGCCUGCCCAGUGCUGGAAGGUUAAGAGGAGAUGUAAGUCGCAAGGCAAAGCAUUGAAUUGAAGCCCCAGUAAACGGCGGCCGUAACUAUAACGGUCCUAAGGUAGCGAAAUUCCUUGUCAGGUAAG
RNAcentral lists this ribosomal RNA (1913 nucleotides) under human gut metagenome. Its description in RNAcentral is "bacterial LSU rRNA". It matches the Rfam family "Bacterial large subunit ribosomal RNA", at positions 1 to 1980 of the family's 2925-position model. The record is from RNAcentral.